This 276-nucleotide long non-coding RNA is filed under the name Mytilus galloprovincialis (Mediterranean mussel). The record is from RNAcentral. Lineage: Eukaryota; Metazoa; Mollusca; Bivalvia; Mytilida; Mytilidae.
AAGCAAUCAGUUUAAAGUGCCAUCCGGAACUGUUGGAUUUUAUGAGUCUUCCUUCCAUACAGACCAUCGCUGCAAAGUAAUUUGAACAUUCAAUUAGAUGAUUAUAAUAUUAUUUGGCAAUCCAAAGAGAACCUGAAAAUAUUAGACCACAAUGAACAGAGACAAAAAAAACCCAGCUAUUUUACUUUACAAUGAAAUUGAAAAAGUAGUUAGUUGCAUGUCCAAUCAUCUUUUGGUUGUCGACCCCAAAUAAAUAAAAUCUAAAUUUCGUAGCAU